AGGGGGAAGGAUGACACAGGUAUAAUGAGUGAGUCAGAAACGGCGAAAUUUUAGAGAUUUGGAACGAUAAUGGAGAAGUGCAAAAGUUGGAGAACGAUUGCUUUCUUUUUUGGAGGAUAGAUGAACUGUAUCGGAAGAUUAUUAUAAGCCCAAAUAAAUAGGACCGAUAUGAUUAUGUUUGACUGCAGCAUGACGUGGCGGUAUACUACUUUCUGAUUGGUUGAUUUUUUGAUCUGACGUGGACACCCUCUUUGUUGAUCUUAUUCAACUUUUAGUAUUGUAUUGAUAUAUAUAUUUUUUAAGGAAAAAAAUUACAUUAGUCAUAGUUAUUAAUAAACAUAUGAUUUGAGAUUUCAUUAUAUGAACUUUAUA
This 372-nucleotide long non-coding RNA is filed under the name Brassica napus (rape). RNAcentral's name for it is "long non-coding RNA (BNAP_LNC000629)". The record is from RNAcentral. Lineage: Eukaryota; Viridiplantae; Streptophyta; Magnoliopsida; Brassicales; Brassicaceae.